UGGAAGUUAAAGUCGUAACAAGGUCUCCGUAGGUGAACCUGCGGAGGGAUCAUUAC
Molecule: ribosomal RNA, 56 nt
Filed under: Alternaria sp. MY-2011
Lineage: Eukaryota; Fungi; Ascomycota; Dothideomycetes; Pleosporales; Pleosporaceae
Description: partial 18S small subunit ribosomal RNA
Rfam family: Eukaryotic small subunit ribosomal RNA
Source: RNAcentral